UUUGGGUUAAGGUAGGGAGAGGGAGCAGAAGGUCAUCAUGAAAAAAUGUCUCUCCUAGAUCCGGGCUGGCAACCUGCGCCUCUACUAAUUAGGAUGAUGUGCACCUUUCCAUGGUCUAAUGUAUUCCUUCUUGUUAGUUCUCCAAUUAAGUUUGCCCAAACUUCAGGAUAAGCAGUUUGCUCAUUUAUUUUUCUUUUGUGUUUUGCAUUCAUUCUAUAACAGAGGGUGAUUGGAUAUUUUUGUGUCAGCCUGGAGGGAUUCUAAAACAUAUAUGUUCUGGUUAUGAUUUGAUGCCCUCUACAUCUUUUAUGUUAUUUACAUGGGUAUUAAAACUAUUUGCGUUCAGGUACAACAAGAAGUUCAUGUAUUGAUGCCCCUGGAGUCCAUGUAGCUCUGCUGCCGUGCUACCCUUAUUGGCCUCGGCUAUGUAUGUCAGUCCAAUACCGUCGCCCCAGGCCGUUCACUGUCGUAGCGACCAGGCCGUUCAUAGAAAAAUGUUGAUUAUAUUGAUACCUAAAACUAGUCUUUGCUCACUUUUGAAUUGAAAAGGAAAAAGGAGUCUCUCUAAUAAUAAGUUUAUUCAAAAAUAGAAACAAAAAUAAACAAAAAACAUGAAACACAAAAACCCCAUGAAAUUUGCAGGGAAAACAUAAUAAGUUCUAAGAAAAUAAAUAUAGAAGUUCAUAUUUUGAAACGAAUGAAGUAUUUGGGAACUAAAUGAAGUAUUUCAAAGUACAGAACUUUUGUUUAGCUUUGUUUGUGUACUUCUAAUGUUACUAUGCAUGAACUUGUCGUUAUUUUUACAUGUUUUACAUGAUUACGGUCAUUUCGACCUUGACAAAUUUCAUUUCACCUUAUAUGGUUUUUUCCAUCCAUCUUACAGGUCGAAGGAGCUCCCUUAUGUUUAGUGGAUUCAACAAAAAAAUUCCCUGCUGCCACUGCAUCCUGAGUUCAAGGGAUUCCUUAGGCGCCUUCUACACCAUCUUGCUAAUGAUGCCAUCGUUGGAUGCCACAGCCAUGCUCGUCGUUCUUGUACUACCAUUCACAUACUGCUCCCUGUUUUACUCCAUGGAGAUCCAUAGAAAUAAGUUAUAUUCAGUUUGCCACUUUUACAAUUGAUGGUCCUAUGUUGACCGAAACAAUAGUUCAAGCUCCUAAAAAAGCAAUCAUGUGUAUGCUACAUCACUUUGAGGAACUACAGCAAACAAAAUAAGGAGAGCUUGGUACUACUUGAUUUUUUUAUAGUACUACUUGAAGCCUUUCUGUUGUAUACAUUGUCUCCUAUUUAUUAUAACCUCGUCAGAUUGUUGGAUGCAUGUGGUCCUU
This 1326-nucleotide long non-coding RNA is filed under the name Triticum aestivum (bread wheat). RNAcentral describes it as "long non-coding RNA (TAES_LNC021705)". Lineage: Eukaryota; Viridiplantae; Streptophyta; Magnoliopsida; Poales; Poaceae. The record is from RNAcentral.